AAGGAUCAUUACAGAGAACCUCGCCCUUCUGGGUGAAUCUCCAACCCUUAUGUUAUAUUACCUUUGUUGCUUUGGCGAGCCGCCUAGGCCACCGGCUUACGCUGGUGUGUGCUCGCCAGAGAACCCCAAACUCUUAGUUAUUAUUGUCGUCUGAGUACUAUAAAAUAGUUAAAACUUUCAACAACGGAUCUCUUGGUUCUG
This 201-nucleotide unclassified non-coding RNA is filed under the name uncultured fungus. RNAcentral's name for it is "partial contains 18S rRNA, ITS1, 5.8S rRNA, ITS2 and 28S rRNA". The record is from RNAcentral. Lineage: Eukaryota; Fungi.